GUCCACGCCCUAAACGAUGCUCACUAGGUGUUGGGGAAGCGAUUCCUUGGUACCGUAGCUAACGCGUGAAGUGAGCCGCCUGGGGAGUACGGCCGCAAGGUUAAAACUCAAAGGAAUUGACGGGGACCCGCACAAGCGGUGGAUGAUGUGGAUUAAUUCGAUGCAACGCGAACAACCUUACCUACCCUUGACAUGUCUGGAAGCCUGCUGAAAGGUGGGUGUGCCUGAAAGGGAACCGGAACACAGGUGCUGCAUGGCUGUCGU
RNAcentral lists this ribosomal RNA (264 nucleotides) under uncultured bacterium. RNAcentral's name for it is "partial 16S ribosomal RNA". It matches the Rfam family "Bacterial small subunit ribosomal RNA", at positions 793 to 1055 of the family's 1533-position model. The record is from RNAcentral.